Molecule: ribosomal RNA, 731 nt
Filed under: Salmonella enterica subsp. enterica serovar Infantis
Lineage: Bacteria; Pseudomonadati; Pseudomonadota; Gammaproteobacteria; Enterobacterales; Enterobacteriaceae
Description: partial 23S ribosomal RNA
Rfam family: Bacterial large subunit ribosomal RNA
Source: RNAcentral
GUUUGAUGUUCUAACGUGGAUCCGUAAUCCGGGUUGCGGACAGUGUCUGGUGGGUAGUUUGACUGGGGCGGUCUCCUCCUAAAGAGUAACGGAGGAGCACGAAGGUUGGCUAAUCCUGGUCGGACAUCAGGAGGUUAGUGCAAUGGCAUAAGCCAGCUUGACUGCGAGCGUGACGGCGCGAGCAGGUGCGAAAGCAGGUCAUAGUGAUCCGGUGGUUCUGAAUGGAAGGGCCAUCGCUCAACGGAUAAAAGGUACUCCGGGGAUAACAGGCUGAUACCGCCCAAGAGUUCAUAUCGACGGCGGUGUUUGGCACCUCGAUGUCGGCUCAUCACAUCCUGGGGCUGAAGUAGGUCCCAAGGGUAUGGCUGUUCGCCAUUUAAAGUGGUACGCGAGCUGGGUUUAGAACGUCGUGAGACAGUUCGGUCCCUAUCUGCCGUGGGCGCUGGAGAACUGAGGGGGGCUGCUCCUAGUACGAGAGGACCGGAGUGGACGCAUCACUGGUGUUCGGGUUGUCAUGCCAAUGGCACUGCCCGGUAGCUAAAUGCGGAAGAGAUAAGUGCUGAAAGCAUCUAAGCACGAAACUUGCCCCGAGAUGAGUUCUCCCUGAGACUUAGAGUCUCCUGAAGGAACGUUGAAGACGACGACGUUGAUAGGCCGGGUGUGUAAGCGCAGCGAUGCGUUGAGCUAACCGGUACUAAUGAACCGUGAGGCUUAACCUUACAACGCCGAAG